GAUGAACGCUGGCGGCGUGCCUAAUACAUGCCAGUCGAGCGAACGGACGAGAAGCUUGCUUCUCUGAUGUUAGCGGCGGACGGGUGAGUACACGUGGAUAACCUACCUAUAAGACUGGGAUAACUUCGGGAAACCGGAGCUAAUACCGGAUGAUAUUUUGAACCGCAUGGUUCAAAAGUGAAAGACGGUCUUGCUGUCACUUAUAGAUGGAUCCGCGCUGCAUUAGCUAGUUGGUAAGGUAACGGCUUACCAAGGCAACGAUGCAUAGCCGACCUGAGAGGGUGAUCGGCCACACUGGAACUGAGACACGGUCCAGACUCCUACGGGAGGCAGCAGUAGGGAAUCUUCCGCAAUGGGCGAAAGCCUGACGGAGCAACGCCGCGUGAGUGAUGAAGGUCUUCGGAUCGUAAAACUCUGUUAUUAGGGAAGAACAUAUGUGUAAGUAACUGUGCACAUCUUGACGGUACCUAAUCAGAAAGCCACGGCUAACUACGUG
RNAcentral lists this ribosomal RNA (496 nucleotides) under uncultured bacterium. RNAcentral's name for it is "partial 16S ribosomal RNA". It matches the Rfam family "Bacterial small subunit ribosomal RNA", at positions 28 to 507 of the family's 1533-position model. The record is from RNAcentral.